RNAcentral lists this transfer-messenger RNA (355 nucleotides) under Brucella abortus. It matches the Rfam family "Alphaproteobacteria transfer-messenger RNA". From Rfam's summary of the family: Bacterial tmRNA, also known as 10Sa RNA or SsrA, is named for its dual tRNA and mRNA-like properties. Its role is to liberate the mRNA from a stalled ribosome. To accomplish this part of the tmRNA is used as a reading frame that ends in a translation stop signal. The record is from RNAcentral. Lineage: Bacteria; Pseudomonadati; Pseudomonadota; Alphaproteobacteria; Hyphomicrobiales; Brucellaceae.
ACCCUUGUGUCUUAAUGGCCAUGCGUUCCGUUGAUAGCGGAGCCGAGACGUUCAGGACGCGGGGGCAGUACCCGCCGCCUCCACCACGAGCGCACGGUCGGGCGAUCAGCAAAGAGCCCGGGUCGAUUGGACAGGCAAGGGCGCCUGAAGGCGUCGAGGGCCCGGACCGUGCGUUCUUGAUGGGGGCGAACUAGGAUCGACUGGCGUGUAGGCGAAGAAGUAGGACCGCGGGAUGGCCGCCUGAUAGGCCGAAACCACUAGGUGCCAACGACAACGAAGCACCCUGCGAAGUCACCGCCCUCGCGGCGUGAUUGAACGGAGCCCGGGGGCGGCUCGGCAACAGGACGCCCCCACC